Unclassified non-coding RNA from Macaca fascicularis (crab-eating macaque), 148 nucleotides. It matches the Rfam family "Metazoan signal recognition particle RNA". Rfam says of the family: The signal recognition particle (SRP) is a universally conserved ribonucleoprotein. It is involved in the co-translational targeting of proteins to membranes. The record is from Ensembl. NCBI's taxonomy places the organism in Eukaryota, Metazoa, Chordata, Mammalia, Primates, Cercopithecidae.
GCCGGGUGUGGUGGUGCGCACCUGUAGUCCCAGCUACUUGGGAGGCUGAGGCAGGAGAAUCGCUUGAACCCGGGAGGUGGAGGUUGCCGUGAGCUGAGAUUGUACCACUGCACUCCAGCCUGGGCAACAGAGCGAGACUCUGUCUCAA